RNAcentral lists this ribosomal RNA (87 nucleotides) under Argentina polyphylla. RNAcentral describes it as "partial 18S ribosomal RNA". It matches the Rfam family "Eukaryotic small subunit ribosomal RNA", at positions 10 to 95 of the family's 1831-position model. Lineage: Eukaryota; Viridiplantae; Streptophyta; Magnoliopsida; Rosales; Rosaceae. The record is from RNAcentral.
GAUCCUGCCAGUAGUCAUAUGCUUGUCUCAAAGAUUAAGCCAUGCAUGUGUAAGUAUGAACAAAUACAGACUGUGAAACUGCGAAUG